RNAcentral lists this long non-coding RNA (959 nucleotides) under Sarcophilus harrisii (Tasmanian devil). RNAcentral's name for it is "lncRNA (ENSSHAG00000026387.1)". The record is from RNAcentral. Lineage: Eukaryota; Metazoa; Chordata; Mammalia; Dasyuromorphia; Dasyuridae.
GUGAUACAGUUUAUGGUUCCUCUUAUAAACUCCUUGAGGGCUAGCACAUAGUAGGAGGUCAGAAAAUGAAAGCAUAGCCCAGUCUUUCCUCCCUGGAAUCUCAGAAUCUGGUUGGGGGAAUCGAGAAAUGAUAGGAUGUAAAAAACCGCAGCCAAACAACGGUGUGGCGUUCAUCCCUGCAACAGGCGGUAGCCAGUCAGAGGCAAUAUUCGGAGCCAGAAGUGCCCUUGGGGACCGACCCUCCCUUCUGGGGGCUGUGCAGACGGGGGCAACGCGGAGAAAAACCGCAAUCGGCAGAGCAGGUGGUUGAACCAACGUCUACCAUUAACUUGUGUGAGCCUCCGAAAUCACCGCAUCUUUCUCAGACAUUCAGUUCCCAAUCGGUAAUCGAGGGGCUGGACUACCAUUGCGGCUCUCCGUGUGAGGUGCAGAAGAGGAGCUCGGGAGAUUGCUGUCAUCCGGGACUACCGUCUGCACUGCCAUCGCGCCAGGUCGGACCGGCGCAAGGAGGCCAGAUGUCUCAGGACGAGAAGGAGUCGGGGUCGCCCACAGAGAAUCAAGACCAUGGGGAGCUUUCCGUGACUGCAGAGCCUGCAGAGCCCACAGAGCCUGCAGAGCCCGCUGAGCCCACCGAGGCCGCCGAACCCAAGGAGCCUGCUGGAGCCCCUUGAGCCCAAGUUGAGCCUCCGCCCCCGGCCCCGAGCCCAUCCACUGUGAUCUGCCCACCUCCUACCGUCCCUCCUCCUCCUCCCAUCCUGGUGUCGGUGGCGACAGCUUCCACCUGGUCCUUUCCCACCGAACCGGUGGCCCCCAGCGAGCCGGAAGCCAGCACCAGCGAGGAGGACCCUAAAGCGAGCUCCAGCCCAAGUGGUGGAGGCAAGCAGGCACUUUGACCUGGAGGGCGGGGGAAUUGAAAUGAGAAUUUGAAGGAUGCACCCAGAUGAGACACUUACUAUGUG